UGAUAAAAAAUCUAACCUGCUCUAUGUAAAUGGCCGCGGUAUAUUGACCGUGCUAAGGUAGCAUAGUCAUUAGUUUUUUAAAUGGAGACUGGAAUGAAGGGUUGGACAAGAGAGAGGCUGUCUUGAGAUGUUGAAAUUUGUUUUGAUAUGAAAAAAUAUGGGGGAAGAGAAGACCCUAUUAAGCUUAACUGUUUUACUGGGGCGGUAAUGAUGAAAGAGAGAAAAAGUUACUAUAGGGAUAACAGCGUGAAAUGUUCAGAGAGUUCAAAUUGAAGAACGGUUUUGCGACCUCGAUGUUGAAUUAAGGUUUUUUGGUGUAGGACUUUUAAUUGCUUACA
Molecule: ribosomal RNA, 338 nt
Filed under: Sarax cochinensis bispinosus
Lineage: Eukaryota; Metazoa; Arthropoda; Arachnida; Amblypygi; Charinidae
Description: partial large subunit ribosomal RNA
Rfam family: Bacterial large subunit ribosomal RNA
Source: RNAcentral